CCUACGGGUGGCUGCAGUGAGGAAUAUUGGUCAAUGGGCGGGAGCCUGAACCAGCCAAGUCGCGUGAGGGACGACGGUCCUAUGGAUUGUAAACCUCUUUUGUCGGGGAACAAAGGCGUCCACGGGUGGGCGGAUGAGUGUACCUGAAGAAAAAGCAUCGGCUAACUCCGUGCCAGCAGCCGCGGUAAUACGGAGGAUGCGAGCGUUAUCCGGAUUUAUUGGGUUUAAAGGGUGCGUAGGCGGAAUAUCAAGUCAGCGGUAAAAAUUCGGGGCUCAACCCCGUCGUGCCGUUGAAACUGAUGGUCUUGAGUGGGCGAGAAGUAGGCGGAAUGCGUGGUGUAGCGGUGAAAUGCAUAGAUAUCACGCAGAACUCCGAUUGCGAAGGCAGCAUACCGGCGCCCAACUGACGCUGAAGCACGAAAGCGUGGGUAUCGAACAGGAUUAGAUACCCGAGUAGUC
Molecule: ribosomal RNA, 459 nt
Filed under: uncultured bacterium
Lineage: Bacteria
Description: partial 16S ribosomal RNA
Rfam family: Bacterial small subunit ribosomal RNA
Source: RNAcentral